GUCGGGGUGGCUCAGCCUGGUGGAGCGUCGGACUCAUAAUCCGGAGGUCGCGGGUUCAACUCCCGCCCCCGACA
RNAcentral lists this transfer RNA (74 nucleotides) under Thermoplasmata archaeon. RNAcentral describes it as "tRNA-Met". It matches the Rfam family "tRNA". Rfam says of the family: Transfer RNA (tRNA) molecules are approximately 80 nucleotides in length. Their secondary structure includes four short double-helical elements and three loops (D, anti-codon, and T loops). The record is from RNAcentral. Lineage: Archaea; Methanobacteriati; Thermoplasmatota; Thermoplasmata.